GAACCAGACUCCUACGGGAGGCAGCAGUGGGGGAUAUUGCACAAUGGGGGAAACCCUGAUGCAGCGACGCCGCGUGAGCGGUGAAGUAUUUCGGUAUGUAAAGCUCUAUCAGCAGGGAAGAAAAUGACGGUACCUGACUAAGAAGCCCCGGCUAACUACGUGCCAGCAGCCGCGGUAAUACGUAGGGGGCAAGCGUUAUCCGGAUUUACUGGGUGUAAAGGGAGCGUAGACGGCGGUGCAAGCCAGAUGUGAAAGCCCGGGGCUCAACCCCGGGACUGCAUUUGGAACUGUGCUGCUAGAGUGUCGGAGAGGCAGGCGGAAUUCCUAGUGUAGCGGUGAAAUGCGUAGAUAUUAGGAGGAACACCGGUGGCGAAGGCGGCCUGCUGGACUGCGACUGACGUUGAGGCCCGAAAGCGUGGGGAGCAAACAGGAUUAGAUACCCCCGUAAA
Molecule: ribosomal RNA, 449 nt
Filed under: uncultured bacterium
Lineage: Bacteria
Description: partial 16S ribosomal RNA
Rfam family: Bacterial small subunit ribosomal RNA
Source: RNAcentral